GACGAACGCUGGCGGCGUGCUUAACACAUGCAAGUCGAACGGAAAGGCCCUGCUUUUGUGGGGUGCUCGAGUGGCGAACGGGUGAGUAACACGUGAGUAACCUGCCCUUGACUUUGGGAUAACUUCAGGAAAUUGGGGCUAAUACCGGAUAGGAGCUCCUGCUGCAUGGUGGGGGUUGGAAAGUUUCGGCGGUUGGGGAUGGACUCGCGGCUUAUCAGCUUGUUGGUGGGGUAGUGGCUUACCAAGGCUUUGACGGGUAGCCGGCCUGAGAGGGUGACCGGCCACAUUGGGACUGAGAUACGGCCCGGACUCCUACGGGAGGCAGCAGUGGGGAAUAUUGCACAAUGGGCGGAAGCCUGAUGCAGCAACGCCGCGUGCGGGAUGACGGCCUUCGGGUUGUAAACCGCUUUCGCCUGUGACGAAGCGUGAGUGACGGUAAUGGGUAAAGAAGCACCGGCUAACUACGUG
This 468-nucleotide ribosomal RNA is filed under the name uncultured bacterium. Its description in RNAcentral is "partial 16S ribosomal RNA". It matches the Rfam family "Bacterial small subunit ribosomal RNA", at positions 28 to 507 of the family's 1533-position model. The record is from RNAcentral.